GACGAACGCUGGCGGCGUGCUUAACACAUGCAAGUCGAACGGAAAGGCCCUGCUUUUGUGGGGUGCUCGAGUGGCGAACGGGUGAGUAACACGUGAGUAACCUGCCCUUGACUUUGGGAUAACUUCAGGAAACUGGGGCUAAUACCGGAUAGGAGCUCCUGCUGCAUGGUGGGGGUUGGAAAGUUUCGGCGGUUGGGGAUGGACUCGCGGCUUAUCAGUUUGUUGGUGGGGUAGUGGCUUACCAAGGCUUUGACGGGUAGCCGGCCUGAGAGGGUGACCGGCCCCAUUGGGACUGAGAUACGGCCCAGACUCCUACGGGAGGCAGCAGUGGGGAAUAUUGCACAAUGGGCGGAAGCCUGAUGCAGCAACGCCGCGUGCGGGAUGACGGCCUUCGGGUUGUAAACCGCUUUCGCCUGUGACGAAGCGUGAGUGACGGUAAUGGGUAAAGAAGCACCGGCUAACUACGUG
This 468-nucleotide ribosomal RNA is filed under the name uncultured bacterium. RNAcentral's name for it is "partial 16S ribosomal RNA". It matches the Rfam family "Bacterial small subunit ribosomal RNA", at positions 28 to 507 of the family's 1533-position model. The record is from RNAcentral.